AGUGAACGCUAGCGAUAGGCCUAACACAUGCAAGUCGAGGGGCAGCAUAGAGUAGCAAUACUUUGAUGGCGACCGGCGCACGGGUGAGUAACACGUAUGCAACCUACCUACAUCAGGGGAAUAACCCGGAGAAAUUCGGACUAAUACCGCAUAAUACAGGGAUGCCGCAUGGCAAUAUUUGUUAAAGAUUUAUCGGAUGUAGAUGGGCAUGCGUUCCAUUAGCUAGUUGGUAAGGUAACGGCUUACCAAGGCAACGAUGGAUAGGGGAACUGAGAGGUUUGUCCCCCACACUGGAACUGAGACACGGACCAGACUCCUACGGGAGGCAGCAGUGAGGAAUAUUGGUCAAUGGACGAGAGUCUGAACCAGCCAAAUCGCGUGAAGGAAGACUGCCCUACGGGUUGUAAACUUCUUUUGUACAGGAAUAAAAGACAUUACGUGUAAUGUAUUGCAUGUACUGUACGAAUAAGCAUCGGCUAACUCCGUGCCAGCAGCCGCCGUAA
Molecule: ribosomal RNA, 503 nt
Filed under: uncultured bacterium
Lineage: Bacteria
Description: partial 16S ribosomal RNA
Rfam family: Bacterial small subunit ribosomal RNA
Source: RNAcentral